Long non-coding RNA from Dromaius novaehollandiae (emu), 1385 nucleotides. RefSeq lists it as uncharacterized. The transcript has 4 exons. NCBI's taxonomy places the organism in Eukaryota, Metazoa, Chordata, Aves, Casuariiformes, Dromaiidae. The record is from RefSeq and is a predicted model, not a curated record.
ACUGCUUCUUCAAUGAGCACAUUUUGAUCGCAGAUCUGAAGACAUUUUUUCAAAAUGGCAAGUGAGGUGAUUUAUGCAGAAGUAUCACCAGAAGAGAGAGGGCAUUUUACUUCACAAACUUCAGAUGAAGGUGAUAGGACGACAUACGCUGAGGUGAAAGUGAAAUGGAAAUCUGACACGUCUGACAAUACACCCAAGACUACACAUACAGUGGUCUGCUCUGAGAAUUCACACUGGUGUUACGUUGCUAUUGCGCUGUACUUCACCGCAGUGAUUCUGCUCAUCACUGUGAUCCUCUUAGCUGUGAAAUGUCAUCAUCUCUGAGGUGAAUGGUGCAGUCCAGCUGACAUACAGGAAAAGUCAGCUUGAGAAGGCUCUGCUCCUUCAACAAAACAUGGUAUAAUACUUGUUUACUUUUAUAUUAUUUUCUCUGAAGAGACUUUUAUGAAAGAAGACAUGCUGUCAGUCUGAUCACACUUCAGUUACUUCUACCAGGAGUUUCAUGAAACCUUCAACCUCCCCAUAUAUGGAUAAAAUAUAUCUUAUUACUUUUAUUCUGAAUUUGAUUAGACCCAUAAUACCAGCAGCCAUUCAAUGAUAUCAGUGCUUGUGACAAGGCAUGGCCUCAAGUUGCUGAAUUAAAAGUUGGAUUUGAGGCUUGUCUAGGCAGAGCAAAUGUCCAGAUGGGCCAAUUUGAGACAUCACUUGUAAUUCACAUCUGACUUGAUUUUGCAAAAAUUUGCCAUGUACACAAGCUUUUAGAUUUCAAUAUGCUCAAAGGCAAAAAUGCAGGGAUAGAACAGGGAAUGGGAAAGGUUGCACUGGAUGUUUUUUAUGACAUCCUGAUCUAGAUGUGAGUUUUCCUAUCCUGACAGCCCUUGGUGGGAUUUGUAUGAAAGAGAGGUAUUGACAGCACAGGAAAACUGUAUUAGAUUAGUAGAGAAGUUUCAGUCUUGUUCCCUCAUUAGCUUGAACAAAAAAAUUCUAUUCUACUUGUCCAGAACAGUAUUUCACAGAGCCAUAAUAUGUUGUUUCUGUCUUGGGGCAGUAAUUCAUUCUGUGCUAUCUUAUGUUUCCAAAUGGUGUAGCUUCAGUUAAAUCAGAGUCCUCUGCCAGAACCUCAGGUUCAAAUGCAUUUGAUUUUAGUUAUUGUUUUGGUGUUUGAUUUUAUAUGGUUUUAAUUUCUCCUCAGAUAUACUCUAACUCCUUUGGGGCAGGCUGAUAUCAACGAUUUGCAGUCCUUGAGUCCUGUACAGCAAAUAUUUCUAAGAACUGUUCCCUGUAUUUAACUUUAUCUGUACUUAAGCCAUGUUGUUGUUGCUGUUAAUAAUGUACCACAUUGUUUAUAGUAUAUGCACCAGAUAUCAAUAAAGAGAUUUAUUAAA